This is a regulatory RNA element of Novosphingobium pentaromativorans, 92 nucleotides long. It matches the Rfam family "terC RNA". NCBI's taxonomy places the organism in Bacteria, Pseudomonadati, Pseudomonadota, Alphaproteobacteria, Sphingomonadales, Sphingomonadaceae. The record is from Rfam.
UCUGCGGGCCGGGCCCCUCUGGCGCGGCGCAGGCUGAUGUGGAAGGCAGUUUCCUCCACAUCGCAGGCGCCACGUGAUGUCGGACCGCAUCG